CCUACGGGGAGCAGCAGUGGGGAAUAUUGGGCAAUGGGCGCAAGCCUGACCCAGCAACGCCGCGUGAAGGAAGAAGGCCCUCGGGUUGUAAACUUCUUUUAUUCGGGACGAAACAAAUGACGGUACCGAAUGAAUAAGCCACGGCUAACAACGUGCUAGCAGCCGUGGUAAUCAGGAGGUGGCAGACGUUAUCCGGAUUUACUGGGUGUAAGGGGUGGGGAGGCGGGAGAGGAAGUCAGACGUGAAAGUCCAGGGCUCAACGCUUGAACUGCGUUUGAAACUGUUCUUAUUGAGUGAGGGAGAGGCAGGCGGAAUUCCGGGUGUAGCGGUGAAAUGCGUAGAUAUACGGAGGAACACCAGUGGCGAAGGCGGCCUGCUGGACAUUAACUGACGCUGAGGCGCGAAAGCGUGGGGAGCAAACAGGAUUAGAUACCCCAGUAGUC
Molecule: ribosomal RNA, 443 nt
Filed under: uncultured bacterium
Lineage: Bacteria
Description: partial 16S ribosomal RNA
Rfam family: Bacterial small subunit ribosomal RNA
Source: RNAcentral